This 674-nucleotide long non-coding RNA is filed under the name Gopherus agassizii (Agassiz's desert tortoise). RNAcentral's name for it is "lncRNA (ENSGAGG00000004666.1)". Lineage: Eukaryota; Metazoa; Chordata; Testudines; Testudinidae. The record is from RNAcentral.
CAGAGCUCCCCCCACCCCCCAAGCAAGUAUGGAUCUGGCUGGGAGCCCCCCAUUUCCACCCCCACAGGCAUGGAGCCCGGAGUGGGAGCAACCAAGCCCCAAGGCGCCACCACCGGGGCAGGAGGAGGAGAAAGUGCCACUGCAGAGCAUCCGGCUGGCCCCGGGCAGUGCGGCCGAGGUGCCGGCGCCGGUUCUGGGCCAGCGGGUUCGGGCCAUUUACGACUACGCCGGGCAGGAGCCGGACGAGCUGAGCUUCACCGCAGGGGAGGAGCUGACGAAGCUGGAGGAGCAGGACCCCCAGGGCUGGUGCAAGGGGGUGACGGAUGGGGGGCGUGUGGGGCUGUACCCCGCCAACUACGUGCAGCCAGUGCCCUGACCUCGGAGCCCCUCUCUGUCGGGGGCUGCACCCCGCCACCCCCCAUCAGCUGCGGCAGGGAUGAGAAGGGGGGACCCUACCCAGCCCCCCCAACAGCCAGUCCCCCAUUUCCCCAAGUGGCCCCAAUCCACAGGCCCAUCUGCCCGGGGGGCUGUUGGGGGAGAGAUCUCAGGGGAGCCCUGAUAGCAAGUGACCCACCCUGCCGCCCCCAGACCCCAUCUAUGAUUUCCCCCCCAGGUCCCCCGUGUCUGGGGCACCCCCGGCUCCUACAGAAACAACAAUAAAUUCUUAACCCCAC